RNAcentral lists this ribosomal RNA (292 nucleotides) under uncultured bacterium. Its description in RNAcentral is "partial 16S ribosomal RNA". The record is from RNAcentral.
GGACUACUGGGGUAUCUAAUCCUGUUUGCUCCCCUAGCCUUCGCGCCUCAGCGUCUGUUACAGCCCAGCCAGUCGCCUUCGCCACUGGUAUUCCUCCCGAUAUCUACGCAUUUCACCACUACACCGGGAAUUCUACUGGCCUCUGCUGCACUCUAGCUCUUCAGUUUAGAUUGACCCUCCCCAGUUAAGCCGGGGGCUUUCACAACCUACUUGAAGUGCCGCCUACUCGCCCUUUACGCCCAGUAAUUCCGGACAACGCUCGCUCCCUACGUAUUACCGCGGCUGCUGGCAC